Molecule: long non-coding RNA, 601 nt
Organism: Linepithema humile (Argentine ant)
Lineage: Eukaryota; Metazoa; Arthropoda; Insecta; Hymenoptera; Formicidae
Source: RefSeq, a predicted model, not a curated record
UCCACAAUUAGCAACGGGACGAGUAGGACGUUCUCUCGUAUCCUUGUGUCGUAACUUACUGAUAUAAUCCUGCGAGUUAUCUUGUGUUUUCCAUUUAGUCGCGAAGUUCUUAAAGUUAAGCGUUAUCAGAAGUUUUUCGCACGCUAAAUAUCAGAAAUAUUCUGAUAUUUUAAAUACGAUUUUCUAAUUUCGACGCUUAUAACCAUGAUGCACGUGGGCAGCAUCCUGUUUUGGGGAUCGAAGCCAUUACGAAUAAUUCAGCAUGCUUUUCCUGUUCUUCUCGCUACAGCCAUGUUGGAAUAUGAAGUAAAAGACAUCAAGAGAUGAAAAAUGCAGCUACAGCAUUAAAGAAGUUUGUCAGAAAAUAUUUUCCAGCAUGCGUUUCAGAAGCUUGUAGAAAGCUGUAAAGAAUGCUAUUUUGAGAAAGAAAUUUAUUUCUACUAUCAAGAUAGUUCAAAACUUGAAUAAUGAGAUUGUGGAAACUGUUGCAGGAGAUCAAUAAUCUAGAUGCCAUCAUUCUUGUAAAAACGAAAAGAAUGUAUCAUUAUUGUACAUCAAUGUAAAAAAAUUUGAUAAAUUCUAAUAUAAAUUGGAAAACAGA